AACGAACGCUGGCGGCAUGCCUAACACAUGCAAGUCGAACGAGACCUUCGGGUCUAGUGGCGCACGGGUGCGUAACGCGUGGGAACCUGCCCUUAGGUUCGGAAUAACUCCCCGAAAGGGGUGCUAAUACCGGAUAAUGUCUUCGGACCAAAGAUUUAUCGCCCUUGGAUGGGCCCGCGUUGGAUUGGCUAGUUGGUAGGGUAAAAGCCUACCAAGGCGACGAUCCAUAGCUGGUCUGAGAGGAUGAUCAGCCACACUGGGACUGAGACACGGCCCAGACUCCUACGGGAGGCAGCAGUGGGGAAUAUUGGACAAUGGGCGAAAGCCUGAUCCAGCAAUGCCGCGUGAGUGAUGAAGGCCUUAGGGUUGUAAAGCUCUUUUACCCGGGAUGAUAAUGACAGUACCGGGAGAAUAAGCUCCGGCUAACUCCGUG
RNAcentral lists this ribosomal RNA (433 nucleotides) under uncultured bacterium. RNAcentral's name for it is "partial 16S ribosomal RNA". It matches the Rfam family "Bacterial small subunit ribosomal RNA", at positions 29 to 507 of the family's 1533-position model. The record is from RNAcentral.